CCUACGGGUGGCAGCAGUAGGGAAUCUUUCACAAUGGGCGAAAGCCUGAUGGAGCAACGCCGCGUGCAGGAUGAAGGCCUUCGGGUUGUAAACUGCUUUUAUAAGCGAGAAAUAUGAUGGUAACUUAUGAAUAAGGAUCGGCUAACUACGUGCCAGCAGCCGCGGUCAUACGUAGGAUCCGAGCAUUAUCCGGAGUGACUGGGUGUAAAGAGUGUCGUAGGUGGCAUAAUAAGUAGCUAGUGAAAUCUGGUGGCUCAACCAUUCAGACUAUUAGCUAAACUGGUAAUCUCGAGACCGUUAGGGGUAACUGGAAUUUCUAGUGUAGGAGUGAAAUGCGUAGAUAUUAGAAAGAACACCAAUAGCGUAGGCAGGUUACUGGGACGGUUCUGACACUAAGGCACGAAAGCGUAGGGAGCAAACGGGAUUAGAUACCCGGGUAGUC
RNAcentral lists this ribosomal RNA (442 nucleotides) under uncultured bacterium. RNAcentral's name for it is "partial 16S ribosomal RNA". It matches the Rfam family "Bacterial small subunit ribosomal RNA", at positions 338 to 795 of the family's 1533-position model. The record is from RNAcentral.